RNAcentral lists this ribosomal RNA (1343 nucleotides) under uncultured bacterium. RNAcentral's name for it is "16S ribosomal RNA". It matches the Rfam family "Bacterial small subunit ribosomal RNA", at positions 28 to 1378 of the family's 1533-position model. The record is from RNAcentral.
GACGAACGCUGGCGGCGUGCUUAACACAUGCAAGUCGAACGGAAAGGCCCUGCUUUUGUGGGGUGCUCGAGUGGCGAACGGGUGAGUAACACGUGAGUAACCUGCCCUUGACUUUGGGAUAACUUCAGGAAACUGGGGCUAAUACCGGAUAGGAGCUCCUGCUGCAUGGUGGGGGUUGGAAAGUUUCGGCGGUUGGGGAUGGACUCGCGGCUUAUCAGCUUGUUGGUGGGGUAGUGGCUUACCAAGGCUUUGACGGGUAGCCGGCCUGAGAGGGUGACCGGCCACAUUGGGACUGAGAUACGGCCCAGACUCCUACGGGAGGCAGCAGUGGGGAAUAUUGCACAAUGGGCGGAAGCCUGAUGCAGCAACGCCGCGUGCGGGAUGACGGCCUUCGGGUUGUAAACCGCUUUCGCCUGUGACGAAGCGUGAGUGACGGUAAUGGGUAAAGAAGCACCGGCUAACUACGUGCCAGCAGCCGCGGUGAUACGUAGGGUGCGAGCGUUGUCCGGAUUUAUUGGGCGUAAAGGGCUCGUAGGUGGUUGAUCGCGUCGGAAGUGUAAUCUUGGGGCUUAACCCUGAGCGUGCUUUCGAUACGGGUUGACUUGAGGAAGGUUGGGGAGAAUGGAAUUCCUGGUGGAGCGGUGGAAUGCGCAGAUAUCAGGAGGAACACCAGUGGCGAAGGCGGUUCUCUGGGCCUUUCCUGACGCUGAGGAGCGAAAGCGUGGGGAGCGAACAGGCUUAGAUACCCUGGUAGUCCACGCUGUAAACGGUGGGUACUAGGUGUGGGGUCCAUUCCACGGGUUCCGUGCCGUAGCUAACGCUUUAAGUACCCCGCCUGGGGAGUACGGCCGCAAGGCUAAAACUCAAAGGAAUUGACGGGGCCCCGCACAAGCGGCGGAGCAUGCGGAUUAAUUCGAUGCAACGCGUAGAACCUUACCUGGGUUUGACAUGGAUCGGGAGCGCUCAGAGAUGGGUGUGCCUCUUUUGGGGUCGGUUCACAGGUGGUGCAUGGCUGUCGUCAGCUCGUGUCGUGAGAUGUUGGGUUAAGUCCCGCAACGAGCGCAACCCUUGUUCACUGUUGCCAGCACGUUAUGGUGGGGACUCAGUGGAGACCGCCGGGGUCAACUCGGAGGAAGGUGGGGAUGACGUCAAGUCAUCAUGCCCCUUAUGUCCAGGGCUUCACGCAUGCUACAAUGGCUGGUACAGAGAGUGGCGAGCCUGUGAGGGUGAGCGAAUCUCGGAAAGCCGGUCUCAGUUCGGAUUGGGGUCUGCAACUCGACCUCAUGAAGUCGGAGUCGCUAGUAAUCGCAGAUCAGCAACGCUGCGGUGAAUACGUUCCCGGG